UCGUGGCAUAUAGCUCAGUAACACGUGGCCAAACUACCCUACAGACCGCGAUAACCUCGGGAAACUGAGGCCAAUAGCGGAUAUAACUCUCAUGCUGGAGUGCCGAGAGUUAGAAACGUUCCGGCGCUGUAGGAUGUGGCUGCGGCCGAUUAGGUAGAUGGUGGGGUAACGGCCCACCAUGCCGAUAAUCGGUACAGGUUGUGAGAGCAAGAGCCUGGAGACGGUAUCUGAGACAAGAUACCGGGCCCUACGGGGCGCAGCAGGCGCGAAACCUUUACACUGCACGACAGUGCGAUAGGGGGACUCCGAGUGUGAGGGCAUAUAGCCCUCGCUUUUCUGUACCGUAAGGUGGUACAGGAACAAGGACUGGGCAAGACCGGUGCCAGCCGCCGCGGUAAUACCGGCAGUCCAAGUGAUGGCCGAUAUUAUUGGGCCUAAAGCGUCCGUAGCUUGCUGUGUAAGUCCAUUGGGAAAUCGACCAGCUCAACUGGUCGGCGUCCGGCGGAAACUACACAGCUUGGGGCCGAGAGACUCAACGGGUACGUCCGGGGUAGGAGUGAAAUCCUGUAAUCCUGGACGGACCACCGAUGGGGAAACCACGUUGAGAGACCGGACCCGACAGUGAGGGACGAAAGCCAGGGUCUCGAACCGGAUUAGAUACCCGGGUAGUCCUGGCUGUAACAAUGCUCGCUA
This 693-nucleotide ribosomal RNA is filed under the name Haloarcula sp. LrD1. Its description in RNAcentral is "bacterial SSU rRNA". It matches the Rfam family "Archaeal small subunit ribosomal RNA", at positions 76 to 769 of the family's 1478-position model. The record is from RNAcentral. Lineage: Archaea; Methanobacteriati; Methanobacteriota; Halobacteria; Halobacteriales; Haloarculaceae.